Molecule: long non-coding RNA, 440 nt
Filed under: Dasypus novemcinctus (nine-banded armadillo)
Lineage: Eukaryota; Metazoa; Chordata; Mammalia; Cingulata; Dasypodidae
Description: lncRNA (ENSDNOG00000050943.1)
Source: RNAcentral
GUGAGUUACAAUUUUCAAUAUUUAGUUAACAAAUCUGUAUAUGUUAUUUUUUUCCCUUUUGUUUUGUUUCAGUAGAUUCUUCAUCUUGUCUCUAAACGAGGAAAUAUUGAUUGGGAGCUACUCAUUCAGAAAAUUAAAAGAAAGAAGCCAUAAUAUAUUAUUGAUCCUUUGAGAACACAACAUAACCACCUUUACCAUUUAUCAUUUCAUUGAAUAGGUAAGACCUUCUCUACUAUUAAAAAGUUACCCACACUUGUGUAAAAUAACUCUGUGCUAACCGUCUGGUUUUUCUUUUGUUUUGUUUUUUGUCUUUAAAUAAAUAUCAAUUCAGUUUGAUAAGGGAGAAAAAAGUAUAUUUUUUAAUUUUAUGACUAAAAAAUUUAGAAUUAUUAAAGUAGCACUUCAUAGUGGUUAAAAUGAUGUAAUAGUAAAAGAACAUC